Molecule: transfer RNA, 73 nt
Filed under: Gracilariopsis heteroclada
Lineage: Eukaryota; Rhodophyta; Florideophyceae; Gracilariales; Gracilariaceae
Description: tRNA-Arg
Rfam family: tRNA
About the family: Transfer RNA (tRNA) molecules are approximately 80 nucleotides in length.
Source: RNAcentral
GCGUUUUUAGUUUAAUGGAUAAAACAUCAAUUUUCUAAAUUGAUAAUUAUAGGUUCAAGUCCUAUAAAAUGCA